UACGGGGGGGGCAAGCGUUGUUCGGAAUUACUGGGCGUAAAGGGCUCGUAGGUGGUCAACUAAGUCAGACGUGAAAUCCCUCGGCUUAACCGGGGAACUGCGUCUGAUACUGGAUGGCUUGAGUUCGGGAGAGGGAUGCGGAAUUCCAGGUGUAGCGGUGAAAUGCGUAGAUAUCUGGAGGAACACCGGUGGCGAAGGCGGCAUCCUGGACCGAUACUGACACUGAGGAGCGAAAGCCAGGGGAGCAAACGGG
Molecule: ribosomal RNA, 253 nt
Filed under: uncultured bacterium
Lineage: Bacteria
Description: partial 16S ribosomal RNA
Rfam family: Bacterial small subunit ribosomal RNA
Source: RNAcentral